This 69-nucleotide transfer RNA is filed under the name Coryphaena equiselis. RNAcentral describes it as "tRNA-Asp". It matches the Rfam family "tRNA". Rfam says of the family: Transfer RNA (tRNA) molecules are approximately 80 nucleotides in length. Their secondary structure includes four short double-helical elements and three loops (D, anti-codon, and T loops). Further hydrogen bonds mediate the characteristic L-shaped molecular structure. tRNAs have two regions of fundamental functional importance: the anti-codon, which is responsible for specific mRNA codon recognition, and the 3' end, to which the tRNAs corresponding amino acid is attached (by aminoacyl-tRNA synthetases). tRNAs cope with the degeneracy of the genetic code in two manners: having more than one tRNA (with a specific anti-codon) for a particular amino acid; and 'wobble' base-pairing, i.e. permitting non-standard base-pairing at the 3rd anti-codon position. Lineage: Eukaryota; Metazoa; Chordata; Actinopteri; Carangiformes; Coryphaenidae. The record is from RNAcentral.
GAGGUGCUAGUAAAAUAAUAACAUUACUUUGUCAAAGUAAAGUCGUGGGUUAAAGUCCCACGCACCUUA